Molecule: long non-coding RNA, 1444 nt
Filed under: Phascolarctos cinereus (koala)
Lineage: Eukaryota; Metazoa; Chordata; Mammalia; Diprotodontia; Phascolarctidae
Description: lncRNA (ENSPCIG00000029220.2)
Source: RNAcentral
CGUGCUUUUUAAGGGGAGGGAAUCCUGAAGCCUCAAGUCGGACAUUUCUUGAGAGCGCCGAAAGCAGCUUUACCGCAGACAGACGGGAGGACCAUGGGAUGCAGCACACUGUGGAAUGGGGUGACAGCCUUGAUGACAGGGAGACCAGCUUUCCACACUUGUUCAAUCAGCAAGAAUUGGUCAGCACUUUCUGCAAUCCCUGCCAUUGGGAGGCCCAGGCUGGUGGAUCGAUGGAGCGGGGGAGUUCUGAGACACAGAGGGGUAAGCCAAUUGCGGGUCUGCCCUACCUUUGACAUUACUAUGGAGAGCCUGCCCCUGUCAUUGGUUGGGUGUGGGGAGGAUCAGUUUGCUUAAGGUUUGAAAACAGAGCAGGUCAAAACUCCUGAGCUAAUCUGUGAUGGACUGAAUCCUGAGUAGCUCCUGCAUUUCCACCCUGGGCUUGCAAGAUAGGGAGAACCAGGCUUUAAAACAAAGCAAAAAAGGAAUUUAUUAAGCACCCACUAUGUGUCAGGGACUUCACUAGGGCUGAGGGUAGAAAGACAUCAAUGAAAGGAGCUUACCUACUCCCUGGGGAGACAAACCCACAAAUUAGUAUAUACACAAUUUUUGUUUGUUUGUUCGUUUGGCAAUGGGGUCUGAGGCCGAAUUUGAACUUGGCUUCUCCUGAAUCCAGGGCCGGUGCUCUAUCCACUGCGCCUCCUAGCUGCCCCGUGCACACAGUUUUUGAAGGGAAACUAGACCUAUGAUUUCAUUCAUGUUGUUAAUUCCCAGGAGUGGAAACUCCCUCCACUAAUUCAAGUCACAACUUUCUCUGUAGUCUUAGAGAGCUGGCUGGGGACUCCCUGCCCAGCCAGGGUUAACCAGAUACCAUGGGUCAGAGACUGGACAUGAGUUCAGAUCUUCCUGAUUCUGGGGCCAUCUCUUCGUCCACCACACCACGCCACACUGACCCCUAUAGGUAAAAUAAGUAUGUGCACAACAAAUCCAAGGUGAUUUCUGGGAGGUGGGGUAGGUAGGGUGGCCAGGAGAUGACAUUAUCAUUCUCUCCUCCUCUACUCCCUCAGUUCACACAUCCAAUCAAUUGCCAGAUUUUACAGUUUCUACCUGUGUCUUCAAUCGGACCCCUCGCACCUUUUGCCUAGAUGAUUCCUACAGCCUUGGAAUUAAGGUUAGACGUGGAAUUGUGGGGAGUCUUCCGGCUCCAGACUGGCUGCUGCCCAAUCAAUUUCCUUAAGCACAGAUCUAACCCUGGGAGUCCUGGACUCCCCCCGUUCCAGUGACUCCUAAUUACCUCUAGAAUCACAAGUGAAUUCUUCUGGUUGGCUCUUAAGGCUCUUUACAACCUCACCUAAGUCUGCAUUUCCAGCCUUAUUGAACAUUGCUCAGUCAGCUCCCAGCAAUAGCUGGCAUUUAUUAAGGUAAUAAAUGGAACCUGGGCUGCCCA